GGAUAUUUCGCGGGUGACGGAUAGCUUCUUUCCUUCACCAAGAUGGCGGCGAGUUCUUCCUAUUCGGCUUAGGAGCGUUCCGAGUCCACGCGAGAAGCUGGCAGGCUGAAAAAUAGGCAGUGCACAGGACGGACUUUCUGGCUACUGACCAUUUAGCUGUGGCAUACCCGGAUUGUGUGUGAGUGGGAAAUCAACCAUGAGCUCCGUGGCAGUUUUGACCCAGGAAAGUUUUGCUGAACAUCGUAGUGGCCUUGCUCAGCAGCAAGUGAAAGUUACAGCUUUAAAUGCUGAAGAAGAGAACGAUCCUCCAACAUACAAAGAUGCCUUCCCCCCUCUCCCUGAGAAAGCUUGUUUGGAGCCAGCCCAGGAACCUACUGGUGCCUGGAGUAAAAUCCGACCAAUCAAGGCUUCUGUUAUCAC
This is a long non-coding RNA of Protobothrops mucrosquamatus (brown spotted pit viper), 420 nucleotides long. RefSeq lists it as uncharacterized. The transcript has 4 exons. The record is from RefSeq and is a predicted model, not a curated record. Lineage: Eukaryota; Metazoa; Chordata; Lepidosauria; Squamata; Viperidae.